AGUGCUAAAGACCCUUCCACUAGCAGGCAGCUCUCCUGUGCUGAAGCAUGACUGCAGAAAGUUCUUGUCUACCUGUCAGGGCCCCUAAGGAAGUUCUGGGCCUCUGUAUAGCCCAGGGGAUAGCAGGAGGGACCUCAGCUUUUCUGCCUACAGUGGGGCAGCAAAAUGGCCUGGAAGACAGGAUUUUGGUCUGCAGGGUCCCCAAUGUGGGACCAGGAAUGAUGAAGCUGAGACAAGAUUUAACUACCCUGAUACAAUGGUCUAUGAUGGGACCUGAGGCUAACACACGGAAAGAAGAUGGACGUGGGGUUCUUUGCUUUUGGUACUGUUUUUCUUUACAGUAUAAAGUACAGUAAAAGCACAAAGAUGUAUUU
Molecule: long non-coding RNA, 374 nt
Filed under: Rattus norvegicus (Norway rat)
Lineage: Eukaryota; Metazoa; Chordata; Mammalia; Rodentia; Muridae
Description: long non-coding RNA NONRATT019907
Source: RNAcentral